This 542-nucleotide long non-coding RNA is filed under the name Homo sapiens (human). RNAcentral's name for it is "HSALNT0407817". Lineage: Eukaryota; Metazoa; Chordata; Mammalia; Primates; Hominidae. The record is from RNAcentral.
GGCAACGCCUGUGCAGUAACCGUUACUGCUUGAUGACCCCCAAACCAGGUCCUGCAAAGCUACCCCCUACUCUCUCAACAGUCUUAGGCCCACCUGCACCCAGGUGAAAUAAACAGCCUUGUUGCUCACACAAAGCGUGUUGCUGGACUCUCUUCACAUGGACGUGCGUGACAUUUGGUGCCGAAACCUGGGACAGGAGGACUCCUUCGGGAGACCAGUCCCCUGUCCUCACCCUCUGUGAGGAGAUCCACCUAUGACCUCAGGUCCUCAGACCAACUAACCCAAGGAACAUCUCACCAAAUUCAAAUCGGGACCCCACUGGAAAUCAGACUGUCCAACUUGCCUGGCAGCCACUCCUAGAGUCCCUGGAACUCUGGCCCAAGGCUGUCUGACUGACUUCUUUCCAGAUCUUCUCGGCUUAGCGGCUGAAGACUGACGCUGUCCGAUCGCCUCAAAAACCUCCUGGACCAUCCCGGAUGCUUUGGGUAACUCUUACAGUGGAGGACAGGAAUGUCAGGCCUCUGAGCCCAACUAAGCCAUCA